Molecule: unclassified non-coding RNA, 380 nt
Filed under: uncultured Sphingomonadaceae bacterium
Lineage: Bacteria; Pseudomonadati; Pseudomonadota; Alphaproteobacteria; Sphingomonadales; Sphingomonadaceae
Description: contains 16S-23S intergenic spacer region
Source: RNAcentral
UCCGGCUUACCACCGGCGGUCCCAUUAGAGUGCCCAGCCAAACCUGUUGGCAACUAAAGACGAGGGUUGCGCUCGUUGCGGGACUUAACCCAACAUCUCACGACACGAGCUGACGACAGCCUUGCAGCACCUGUGUGUAGGUCCCGUAAGGGAAGGAAUCCAUCUCUGGAAACCGUCCUACCAUGUCAAACGCUGGUAAGGUUCUGCGCGUUGCUUCGGAUUAAACCACAUGCUCCACCGCUUGUGCAGGCCCCCGUCAAUUUCUUUGAAUUUUAACCUUGCGGCCGUACUCCCCAGGCGGAUGACUUAACGCGUUAGCUGCGCCACCGGAACGCUAAGCGCCCCGACAGCUAGUCAUCAUCGUUUACGGCUAGGACUAC